Molecule: ribosomal RNA, 400 nt
Filed under: uncultured bacterium
Lineage: Bacteria
Description: bacterial SSU rRNA
Rfam family: Bacterial small subunit ribosomal RNA
Source: RNAcentral
CUAAGAAUAUUCCGCAAUGGACGGAAGUCUGACGGAGCGACGCCGCGUGGAUGAAGAAGGCCGAAAGGUUGUAAAGUUCUUUUGCUAGGGGAGAAUAAGUGUGGGAGGGAAUGCCUGCACGAUGACAAGGACUAGCGAAUAAGUCCCGGCCAACUACGUGCCAGCAGCCGCGGUAACACGUAGGGGGCGAGCGUUGUUCGGAAUUACUGGGCGUAAAGGGCAUGUAGGCGGCUUGGUAAGCCUGGCGUGAAAGUCUGCAGCUUAACUGUAGGGAUGCGUUGGGAACUGCUUAGCUUGAGUUACGGAGAGGGAGCUGGAAUUCCUGGUGUAGGGGUGAAAUCUGUAGAUAUCAGGAAGAACACCGAUGGCGAAGGCAAGCUUCUGGCCGACAACUGACGCU